Molecule: small RNA, 872 nt
Filed under: Pan troglodytes (chimpanzee)
Lineage: Eukaryota; Metazoa; Chordata; Mammalia; Primates; Hominidae
Description: retained intron
Source: RNAcentral
CCCUACAGCGCUGCGCGACUGCUUUGCAGAAGCCAGAUGAUUCUGCCUGUGCAGGAAUGAAGUGCGACCCGGCGCGCGAGGGAGGGAGGCCUCUGCGCUUUGGCUCCGGCCGCGCCUCCUCCCUGGGAUCCGGUCUAGGGCUGGCGAGCUCCGCGGGUCCCUGCUCAGAGCGGGGCUGCUGCACCACCUGCCGCGGGUGGCCAAAGCAGAAAAAAAAGGAAAAAAUGGGAGCGGGGAAUACAAAUGUCUUAUUUUCUUUUAAAGAAUAGUGAAACUAACAGAGGAGAAUCUGAAAAAAAGAGAAACCUGGGUGAACUUUCACGGACAACCUCAGAGGACAACGAAGUGUUCGGUAGGUGACGCAGACAUCGGCAACAUGGCGCCACAUGGUGACGGCGUGCACCUGCACUCUCACUCGGGGAAGCCUUUGAUUUUUUUAUUGCAUGGGUGAUCCAUGGAUCUGUACUCAUUACUAAAACAUAGAGGCUGGGAUCAUUGCUUCAUGUCUGUAAUCGCACACUUCACGGGGUCUAUGCAAGAGGAUCGCUUGAGCCCAGGAGCUCAAGACCAGCCCGGGCAACACAAUGAGACCUCGUCUCUACAAAAAAUAAAAUAAAUGAAUUAGCCAGGUGUGGUGGCAUGCACCCGUGGCCCCAGAUACUUGGGAGGCUGAAGUGAGAGGAUCACUUGGGCCCAGGAGGUCGAGGCUGCAGUGAGCUAUGAUUGCUCCACUGCACUCCAGGCUGGGCAACAGAGCAAGAUGCUGUCUAAAAAAAAUUAAAAUGUCGGCUGUGUAGAUACGUGGCAGAUACAGCCCCUUCCUCCCCUCCUGCAAUCCCUUCCCAUCUCAGUUUUGUUUUUGCUCGCAUGCC